ACGCACGCUGGCGGCGUGCUUCACCCCUGCAAGUCGAACGGAAAGGCCCUGCUUUUGUGGGGUGCUCGAGUGGCGAACGGGUGAGUAACACGUGAGUAACCUGCCCUUGACUUUGGGAUAACUUCAGGAAACUGGGGCUAAUACCGGAUAGGAGCUCCUGCUGCAUGGUGGGGGUUGGAAAGUUUCGGCGGUUGGGGGUGGACUCGCGGCUUAUCAGCUUGUUGGUGGGGUAGUGGCUUACCAAGGCUUUGACGGGUAGCCGGCCUGAGAGGGUGACCGGCCACAUUGGGACUGAGAUACGGCCCAGACUCCUACGGGAGGCAGCAGUGGGGAAUAUUGCACAAUGGGCGGAAGCCUGAUGCAGCAACGCCGCGUGCGGGAUGACGGCCUUCGGGUUGUAAACCGCUUUCGCCUGUGACGAAGCGUGAGUGACGGUAAUGGGUAAAGAAGCACCGGCUAACUACGUG
This 467-nucleotide ribosomal RNA is filed under the name uncultured bacterium. RNAcentral describes it as "partial 16S ribosomal RNA". It matches the Rfam family "Bacterial small subunit ribosomal RNA", at positions 29 to 507 of the family's 1533-position model. The record is from RNAcentral.